RNAcentral lists this ribosomal RNA (1598 nucleotides) under uncultured bacterium. RNAcentral describes it as "16S ribosomal RNA". It matches the Rfam family "Bacterial small subunit ribosomal RNA". The record is from RNAcentral.
AGUUUGAUCCUGGCUCAGAACGAACGCUGGCGGCGUGGAUUAGGCAUGCAAGUCGAACGCGAAAGGGGAGCAAUCCCCGAGUAGAGUGGCGAACGGGUGAGUAACACGUGAGAAACCUGCCUUCAGCAGGGGGAUAACACUCCCAACGGGGUGCUAAUACCGCAUGAGACCACGGGGUCGCAUGGCCCUGAGGUCAAAGGUGGCCUCUGCUUGCAAGCUACCGGCUGAAGAUGGUCUCGCGUCCCAUUAGCUAGUUGGUGGGGUAAUGGCCUACCAAGGCGACGAUGGGUAGCUGGUCUGAGAGGAUGGUCAGCCACACUGGGACUGAGAUACGGCCCAGACUCCUACGGGAGGCAGCAGUCGAGAGGCUUUGGCAAUGGGGGAAACCCUGACCAAGCGACGCCGCGUGGAGGAUGAAGGCCCUUGGGUUGUAAACUCCUUUUGUUGGGGAAGAAAUGCGAUCAGGUGAACAAUCUGGUCGUUUGACGGUACCCGACGAAUAAGCUCCGGCUAACUCCGUGCCAGCAGCCGCGGUAACACGGGGGGGGAGCAAGGCGUUGUUCGGAAUCACUGGGGCGUAAAGGGGCGUGUAGGCGGUCGAGUAAGUGGAAUGUGAAAUCCCUCGGCUCACCCGGAGGACGUCUGCAUAUCCAUACCCUGCUCGGGCUCGAGAUAUGGGAGAGGGAUGAGGGAAAUCUCUGGGUGGUAGCGCGGUGAAAUGCUGUAGAGAUAUCAGGGAGGAACACCGGUUGGGCAGAAAGCGCCUCAAUCUUGGCCCAUAACUCGACGCUGAAGGCGCCGAAAAGCUUGAGGGGGAGCCAAACGGGGAUAAGAUACCCCCGGGUAGUCCCUAACCCGGAAACCGGUGAUCCACUAGGGUGUUGGAGAGGCAUCCGACCCCUCUCACGGGCCGCCAGCCUAAACGUCAUUAAACGUGAUCCCCCCUGGGAGAAUACCGCCCCCCAUAGGUUGAAACCUCUAAAAGGAAUUUGACCGGGGCGCCCGCCCAGAAGCGCGGUGGGACCAUGGGUUUAAUUUCGACCCAACGCGAAGGACCUUUCCCCAGACUUGACCUGCAAGCGGACGGAGUGUGGAAACCCCCUUUCCCUUUCGGGCCGGUUGCACAGGUGGUGCCAUGGCUGUCGUCAAGCUUGUGUCGUGAAGAUGUUGGGUUUAAGUCCCCCCAACGAGCGCAACCCUUGUCCUUAGUUGCUAACGGGGCCAAGCUGAGCACUCUAAGGAGACUGCCCGGUGGUAAACCGGGAGGAAGGUGGGGAUGACGUCAAGUCCUCAUGGCCCUUACGUCUGGGGCUACACACGUGCUACAAUGGCCGGUACAAAGGGUCCCGAUACCGCGAGGUGGAGGUAAUCCCAAAAAACCGGUCUCAGUUCGGAUUGCAGUCUGCAACUCGACUGCAUGAAGUUGGAAUCGCUAGUAAUCGCUGAUCAGCAGGCAGCGGUGAAUACGUUCCCGGGCCUUGUACACACCGCCCGUCAAGCCACGAAAGUUGGUAGUACCCGAAGUCGGUGUGCCAACCGUAAGGGGCAGCCGCCUAAGGUAAGACCAGUGAUUGGGGCUAAGUCGUAACAAGGUAACC